UACAGAGGGGGCAAGCGUUAUUCGGAAUUAUUGGGCGUAAAGGGCGCGUAGGCGGCCUAGCAAGUGGCGGGUGAAAUCCCUCGGCUUAACCGAGGAACUGCCUGCCAGACUGCAUGGCUUGAGACCGGGAGAGGUGAGUGGAAUUCCCAGUGUAGCGGUGAAAUGCGUAGAUAUUGGGAGGAACACCAGUGGCGAAGGCGGCUCACUGGACCGGAACUGACGCUGAGGCGCGAAAGCGUGGGGAGCAAACAGGAUUAGAUACCCCCGUAGUCC
RNAcentral lists this ribosomal RNA (273 nucleotides) under uncultured bacterium. Its description in RNAcentral is "partial 16S ribosomal RNA". It matches the Rfam family "Bacterial small subunit ribosomal RNA", at positions 524 to 796 of the family's 1533-position model. The record is from RNAcentral.